UACGUAGGUGGCAAGCGUUGUCCGGAAUCACUGGGCGUAAAGGGCGCGUAGGCGGUUAAUUAAGUCAGAUGUGAAAUAUCCGGGCUUAACCUGGAGGGUGCAUCUGAUACUGGAUAACUUGAGUGCAGGAGAGGGCAGUGGAAUUCCUAGUGUAGCGGUGAAAUGCGUAGAUAUUAGGAGGAACACCAGUGGCGAAGGCGGCUGCCUGGACUGUAACUGACGCUGAGGCGCGAAAGCGUGGGGAG
RNAcentral lists this ribosomal RNA (245 nucleotides) under uncultured Eubacteriales bacterium. RNAcentral's name for it is "uncultured Clostridiales bacterium partial 16S ribosomal RNA". It matches the Rfam family "Bacterial small subunit ribosomal RNA", at positions 524 to 768 of the family's 1533-position model. Lineage: Bacteria; Bacillati; Bacillota; Clostridia; Eubacteriales. The record is from RNAcentral.